CAGUCGCCGCGGGAAUACGGAGGAUCCAAGCGUUAUCCGGAAUCAUUGGGUUUAAAGGGUCCGUAGGCGGUCUUGUAAGUCAGUGGUGAAAGCCCAUCGCUUAACGGUGGAACGGCCAUUGAUACUGCAGGACUUGAAUUAUUGGGAAGUAACUAGAAUAUGUAGUGUAGCGGUGAAAUGCUUAGAGAUUACAUGGAAUACCAAUUGCGAAGGCAGGUUACUACCAAUUGAUUGACGCUGAUGGACGAAAGCGUGGGUAGCGAACAGGAUUAGAUACCCCUGUAGUCCCUGUCUCUUAUAA
RNAcentral lists this ribosomal RNA (301 nucleotides) under uncultured bacterium. RNAcentral describes it as "partial 16S ribosomal RNA". It matches the Rfam family "Bacterial small subunit ribosomal RNA", at positions 509 to 809 of the family's 1533-position model. The record is from RNAcentral.